GGGCUCGUAGUCUAGUGGCUAUGCGCAAAAUCAGAGAUUUUGGCAUCUCUGGUUUGCACCACAGAUGACGUCGCCUUCACACGGCGGAGGUCCCCGGUUCGAGUCCGGGCGGGCCCA
This 117-nucleotide transfer RNA is filed under the name Nanobdellota archaeon. RNAcentral's name for it is "tRNA-Val". The record is from RNAcentral. Lineage: Archaea; Nanobdellati; Nanobdellota.